GGCUGAGUGCGGGGCGGGGGCACGCUGCCCUUCUCGGGUUUGGGUCGUGGGUGAGGAGCUUGGGGAGGUCGGGGUACUGCCGCGGGAGCUCCGAUUUUCCGGACUGUGCGGACACGGCCAGCGGGAACCGCUUCCUGGGAGCCGGCCGUGGCCGUGCGGGCGUCCAGCCGCCCGCGGAAACGUUCACGGGCGGACUGCAGUCGGCUGCCGCCUAGUAAACGCCGUGAGGUCUGCGCUCCUUGCCGUCCCGCUGUAAUGCGGUGCUUCCGUCUCCAUCUCGAGGCCACAUCUAGACUGCCGCGUGCCCCUCACUACAAGAAAGACGUUGAGUGUGUCCAGAGAAGGGCAGCGGAGCCGUGAGGGGUCUGGAGCACAAGUCUUAUGGGGAGCAGCUGAGGGAACUGGGGUUGUUCAGUCUGGAGGAGGCUCAGGGCAGACCUUAUCACUCUCUUUACCAGCCUGAAGGGAAAUUGUGGAGAGGUGACGUCGGCCUCUUCUCCCAGAAACAUGCAGACACUGCUCAGGACCAUACCUUACAGUGGAGCAAAUGGGUUGAAAAACCAAAACAGGGAUGUGAUGACCCCUUCUCUAGCACUGGCUUUGCAUUUCUUUUCCACCAUGUUCCUUCAGCCACCGCUGAGAAGCUCCCUAUAGCAUCACCUCAGAAUUCAGUCACUUUGAGGUUGAGUCAACAGUCCAACAACCCCAGCUGCCUCUCUUCCAGCCCUUCCCAUCCUUGUGACUUGAGGAGUUUACACGCAUCACAGCAGAGUUACAGCUGCACAGAAAUUGACUUGCCAGCAAGUUACUACUGCCUAUCAGCAGAAUUCAGCCAGUGCUGACUUCUCCAGGGAGGGAAUGGAUAAGGUCUCUCCUCUGUCCCAGCCACAGAUUGUCAUAAAACGUGCACACAUUUAACACUUCUGGAAUACUUUUGCCUUUCGGUCGUGUCCAGCUAAAAAAGAUUAAUGGUCAGAAGAUGAUGGGGGGGAGGGAAGGAGGCAAGGGGGCUGGUUUGAUAGACUGACAAAUAGACAAUGUGAUUGCAUCAGUCUCAUUUCCUAAGGAAACUAGGCUAAAAAUAAAAGGCUUUAUUUGCUCCUGGGAAUAAAGCAGAAUGUCUCUCACAUCUUUACAAAACAUUUGUUUCUAUGCAUACUUAUAAACAGUCAGGAUGGGAGAGGAAGUUUGCUCUGAGUUUCGAGAAGAAAAUUACAAGGAAGAGCUAGAGGUGCAUGAAUUUUAAAACCUGGGAUACAUUUAGGCAUACAACACAGCAAUAAAUGCAGAGUCUUGCACACUAGUGCCACAGUACUGAUAAGUCAACUGUUGGCCUGCAAACCAACUUGCCUGUUAGGCAAUUUUUCACCCCUCCACAGAAUGAAUACACUUCUUCUUCAAUGAAGAUGGAUGGUGUGCUUUAGAUCAAACCCUGCGUGCACUCCGAAGUCAGCAGACUCUCACGGAUGUAAGUGAGCAGCACAGAAGUUGCUGUAUUUGAUCAGAUUUACAGUCUAGAGAUUCCUGUCUGAUGGUGACCAAAACCAGCUACUUCAGAGGAAACACUCCCCAGAAAGGUCUCUGUUUUUAUGCAUUCUGCUUAGAAAACGCUUUUUGUUUACGAAAUCUAAAUUUACUAUUUUGCAGUUUCAUCAACUGGUACCAUACUGGAGCUGUGCUUUUAUAGUCGUACUAAUGGACAAGGAACUAAGUAGUUCCACAUCCUCCAGAAACCUCUGAUUGCUUGCUGUGAGACGUGACUACCAACAUAUCAUCCAAAAAAAGGGAACGGUUCAUACAGCCCAGGGGGCCUUCCAUCAUGGCAAAUUGGCUGCGUGGAAGCAUUUGUAUUGUCCAUCUCCUUUGCUUGUGCACUACCUUUUCAUUUUUGCUUCAGUGGCCUAUGCAUGGAAGCCCCUUCUUCAUGAGACAUGCUAUAAUUUGCAUUACAGGAAUACUUAGUAGUCUCAGCGAACACUGUACUAAGGACUAUAGAAACAUGUCAUUAGAGGUGGUCCUUGUCCUGAAAAAAUCAUGUUCAAAAGAUGAACGAUCAGCAUAUUCUGGGGAUAAAAGGAUGCAGCACAAUGCUAGAAGACAAGAAAACCAAUAUAUAUCUCACCUGCAGGUAUAAUUGUUCUUGCCAGGAUUUACGCUCAGCUCAGCUUCAAAUUUGUUCUUGCUUCCCCAGGAUGUUCAGCACGACUUUAGGAAUGGGAUCGCUCUGUCCCAAUGUAGAGGUCAAAAAUAUGACAUCUGACCUCAUCCUUCUACAGUCCAUCUGCAGUCAGCCAAGAGAAUUAGGUGUUUGCAGGAGAACCACUCAUUACUACCCCCAUCUACUGAAAAUAAAUGAUGUUUCCCAUUUCAGAAUUUUGGAACCAAACAACGGUUUUCUUGAUCAUUUCUGGCACUAGCCAAAAGCUAAUGUCUCUGGUGUGGACAGGAAUUGAACUUCACAUAUGUUUUAAUGUAUGACACAAAACACGUGCCCAUGUCUGUCUUAGGUACCUCAUCCGUUGCAUGUUUUAGGAUUCCUUGGGUAACUUCUUAGAAUCAAGACUGGUAUCUUAAUUUCAGCCCAAC
Molecule: long non-coding RNA, 2586 nt
Organism: Gallus gallus (chicken)
Lineage: Eukaryota; Metazoa; Chordata; Aves; Galliformes; Phasianidae
Source: Ensembl